Molecule: ribosomal RNA, 569 nt
Filed under: uncultured Methanomicrobiales archaeon
Lineage: Archaea; Methanobacteriati; Methanobacteriota; Methanomicrobia; Methanomicrobiales
Description: bacterial SSU rRNA
Rfam family: Archaeal small subunit ribosomal RNA
Source: RNAcentral
AUACCCGGGUAGUCCCAGCCGUAAACGAUGCGCGUUAGGUGUAUCGAUGACCACGAGUCAUCGAGGUGCCGAAGAGAAAUCGUGAAACGUGCCGCCUGGGAAGUACGGUCGCAAGGCUGAAACUUAAAGGAAUUGGCGGGGGAGCACCACAACAGGUGGAGCCUGCGGUUUAAUCGGACUCAACGCCGGAAAUCUCACCGGAUAAGACAGCUGUAUGAUAGUCGGGCUGAAGACUCUACUUGACUAGCUGAGAGGAGGUGCAUGGCCGUCGUCAGUUCGUACUGUGAAGCAUCCUGUUAAGUCAGGCAACGAGCGAGACCCACGUCAACAGUUGCCAGCUCGUCCUCCGGGAUGGUGGGGACACUGUUGGGACCGCCUCUGCUAAAGAGGAGGAAGGAAUGGGCAACGGUAGGUCAGCAUGCCCCGAAUUAUCCGGGCUACACGCGGGCUACAAUGGGUGGGACAAUGGGUAUCGACACCGAAAGGUGAAGGCAAUCUCCUAAACCCAUCCUUAGUUCGGAUUGUGGGCUGCAACUCGCCCACAUGAAGCUGGAAUCUGUAGUAAUCGU